This 76-nucleotide transfer RNA is filed under the name Ignavibacteriae bacterium HGW-Ignavibacteriae-1. RNAcentral's name for it is "tRNA-Thr". It matches the Rfam family "tRNA". Rfam says of the family: Transfer RNA (tRNA) molecules are approximately 80 nucleotides in length. Lineage: Bacteria; Pseudomonadati; Ignavibacteriota. The record is from RNAcentral.
GCCGGAUUAGCUCAGUUGGUAGAGCAGCUGAUUUGUAAUCAGCAGGUCGGGGGUUCAAAUCCGUCAUCCGGCUCAA